RNAcentral lists this ribosomal RNA (460 nucleotides) under uncultured bacterium. RNAcentral's name for it is "partial 16S ribosomal RNA". It matches the Rfam family "Bacterial small subunit ribosomal RNA", at positions 338 to 795 of the family's 1533-position model. The record is from RNAcentral.
CCUACGGGUGGCAGCAGUGAGGAAUAUUGGUCAAUGGACGAGAGUCUGAACCAGCCAAGUAGCGUGAAGGAUGACUGCCCUAUGGGUUGUAAACUUCUUUUAUCUGGGAAUAAAAUGUUCCACGUGUGGGAUUUUGUAUGUACCAUAUGAAUAAGGAUCGGCUAACUCCGUGCCAGCAGCCGCGGUAAUACGGAGGAUCCGAGCGUUAUCCGGAUUUAUUGGGUUUAAAGGGGUCGUAGGUGGAUUGUUAAGUCAGUUGUGAAAGUUUGCGGCUCAACCGUAAAAUUGCAGUUGAAACUGGCAGUCUUGAGUACAGUAGAGGUGGGCGGAAUGCGUGGUGUAGCGGUGAAAUGCUUAGAUAUCACGAAGAACUCCGAUUGCGAAGGCAGUUCACUGGACUGCAACUGACACUGAGGCUCGAAAGUGUGGGUAUCAAACAGGAUUAGAUACCCCUGUAGUC